This 1968-nucleotide ribosomal RNA is filed under the name human gut metagenome. RNAcentral's name for it is "bacterial LSU rRNA". It matches the Rfam family "Bacterial large subunit ribosomal RNA", at positions 1 to 1983 of the family's 2925-position model. The record is from RNAcentral.
GUAAAUAAUUAAGGGCGUAUGGUGGAUGCCUAGGCUCUCAGAGGCGAAGAAGGACGUGAUAAGCUGCGAAAAGCUCCGUUUAGGUGCAAAUAACCUUUGAUGCGGAGAUCUCCGAAUGGGAUAACCCAAUAUGUUGAAGACAUAUUAUACCGUAAGGUAGGCAAACGCAGGGAACUGAAACAUCUAAGUACCUGCAGGAGAAGAAAACAAAAGUGAUUCCCCCAGUAGCGGCGAGCGACCGGGGAAAAGCCCAAACCGUUAUUGUUUCGGCAUUAACGGGGUAGUAGGACUGCAAGCUUGAUGAAAUAAAUGAAAUGGAACACCUUGGAAAAUGUGAUCACAGAGGGUGAUAAUCCCGUACAUGCAAGUUUAUGAAUCAUAGCAGACUCCUGAGUAAGUCGGGACACGUGUAAUCCUGACCGAAUCCGCCGGGACCAUCCGGCAAGGCUAAAUACUCCUGAGAGACCGAUAGUGAACCAGUACCGUGAGGGAAAGGUGAAAAGCACUUCGAACAGAAGAGUGAAAUAGUCCCUGAACCCAUACGCCUACAAGCAGUCGGAGCCGCUUCGUGCGGUGACGGCGUGCCUUUUGCAUAAUGAGCCUACGAGUUACUCAUCACCAGCGAGGUUAAGUACUUCAGGUACGUAAGCCGAAGCGAAAGCGAGUCUGAAUAGGGCGUCAAGUUGGUGGUGGUAGACGCGAAACCUUAGUGAUCUACCCAUGGGCAGGGUGAAGGUUUGGUAACACAAACUGGAGGCCCGAACCGGUAAACGUUGAAAAGUUUUCGGAUGACCUGUGGGUAGGGGUGAAAGGCCAAUCAAACUGGGAAAUAGCUCGUACUCUCCGAAAUGCAUUUAGGUGCAGCCUCUGUUGUUUUGUUCUAGAGGUAGAGCUACUGAUUGGAUGCGAGGGCUUCACCGCCUAUCAAAUCCGGCCAAACUCCGAAUGCUAGAACAUGAAGACAGGGAGUGAGCCAGCGGGUGCUAAGGUCCGUUGACGAAAGAGGGAGAACUCAGACCAUCAGCUAAGGUCCCCAAUUGUAUGCUAAGUUGGAAUUAAAACGGGGUGGGACUGCUUAGACAGCUAGGAUGUUGGCUUGGAAGCAGCCAUUCAUUUAAAGAGUGCGUAACAGCUCACUAGUCGAGCGGUCCUGCAUGGAUAAUACGCGGGCAUAAGCAUAUAACCGAAGCUAUGGGAUUGUAGAUGAUACAAUCGGUAGGAGAGCAUUCCAUUCAGCAUAGAAGCAGUACCGUGAGGUAUUGUGGAGCGGAUGGAAAAGCAAAUGUAGGCAUAAGUAACGAUAAUGCGGGUGAGAACCCCGCACGCCGAAAGAUCAAGGAUUCCCCGGCAAUGUCAAUCAUCCGGGGGUAAGUCGGAUCCUAAGGGUAAGCCGAGUGGCGAUCCCGAUGGCAAACAGGUUAAUAUUCCUGUACUGAUCAUAACUGCGAUGCAGCGACGCAGAGGUGACACUGCUGCGUACUGACGGAAUAGUACGUUGAAACCCGUAUUCUUUGAUACCGGUAGUGAAGCACGCCGGUAGAGAUGAAAGGUGAUAGUACCGCAAUGCUUCGGUUGCGCGGAUAACGCAGGUAAGCUGACUGCCAAGAAAACCUGCUAAGCUUCAGGUAAUGAUCAUCCGUACUGUAAACGGACACACGUGAUCAGGUAGAAAAUACUAAGGCGCUCGAGAGAUUCAUGGUUAAGGAACUAGGCAAAAUGGUCCUGUAACUUCGGGAUAAAGGACGCUCUUGUGAAAGAGCCGCAGAUAAUAGGCCCAGGCGACUGUUUACCAAAAACACAUGGCUAUGCUAAUUCGCAAGAAGAUGUAUAUGGCCUGACACCUGCCCGGUGCCGGAAGGUUAAGAGGAGAGCUCAGAGGUAACUCGAAGGUUUGAAUUGAAGCCCCGGUAAACGGCGGCCGUAACUAUAACGGUCCUAAGGUAGCGAAAUUCCUUGUCGGGUAAGUUC